RNAcentral lists this ribosomal RNA (492 nucleotides) under uncultured bacterium. RNAcentral's name for it is "partial 16S ribosomal RNA". It matches the Rfam family "Bacterial small subunit ribosomal RNA", at positions 29 to 507 of the family's 1533-position model. The record is from RNAcentral.
AGUGAACGCUGGCGGUAGGCCUAACACAUGCAAGUCGAACGGCAGCACAGUAAGAGCUUGCUCUUACGGGUGGCGAGUGGCGGACGGGUGAGGAAUACAUCGGAAUCUACUUUUUCGUGGGGGAUAACGUAGGGAAACUUACGCUAAUACCGCAUACGACCUACGGGGGAAAGCAGGGGAUCUUCGGACCUUGCGCGGUUGAAUGAGCCGAUGUCGGAUUAGCUAGUUGGCGGGGUAAAGGCCCACCAAGGCGACGAUCCGUAGCCGGUCUGAGAGGAUGAUAGGCGACACUGGAGCGGAGACACGGUCCAGACUCCUACGGGAGGCAGCAGUGGGGAAUAUUGGACAAUGGGCGCAAGCCUGGCCCAGCCAUACCGCGUGGGUGAAGAAGGCCUUCGGGUUGUAAAGCCCUUUUGUUGGGAAAGAAAAGCAGCAGGUUAAUACCCCGCUGUUCUGACGGUACCCAAAGAAGAAGCACCGGCUAACUUCGUG